GACGAACGCUGGCGGCGUGCUUAACACAUGCAAGUCGAACGGAAAGGCCCCGUUUUGGGUACUCUAGUGGCGCACGGGUGAGUAACACGUGAGUAACCUUCCCUUGACUUCGGGAUAACGUCAGGAAACUGGGGCUAAUACCGGAUAGGAAUCCUUUCUGCAUGGUGGGGGUUGGAAAGCUUCGGAGGUUUUGGAUGUAUUCGCGGCUUAUCAGCUUGUUGGUGUGGUAGUGGCUUACCAAAGCGUUGACGGGUAGCCGCCCUGAGAGGGCGACCGGCCACACUGGGACUGAGAGAAGGCACCGACUCCUAAGGUAGGGAGCAGUGGGGAAGAUUGAACAAUCGGCGGAAGGUUGAUGCAGAAAGGCCGCGUGCGGGAUGACGCUCUUAGGGUUGUAGAACGCUUUCAGCAGGGGCGAAGCUUGUGGUGACGGUACCUGAAGAAGAAGCAACGGCUAACUACGUG
This 465-nucleotide ribosomal RNA is filed under the name uncultured bacterium. RNAcentral's name for it is "partial 16S ribosomal RNA". It matches the Rfam family "Bacterial small subunit ribosomal RNA", at positions 28 to 507 of the family's 1533-position model. The record is from RNAcentral.